GCACUGUCUUCUUGAGAUCAGCUUCGCUUGCGAAGAAUCGACGUGCUACAGCCUUCUUAUCAGCCUGAGCAAUGCGGCGACUGAUUGACUGGCCAAGCUGCCACAAACUUCCUCCUCUCAUGUUUAGAUGAGAAAAUUCUGAAGAUGCUCUGCUUCUUGACGAAAGACAACCAAAUCACGGAGCCCAGAAGGGCAUAGCAAUGCACGAGGCUGGUGAUAGAAAAGAGGAUGUCUUUAUAUGAUAUGGUGGACAAUUAACAAAAGGGCCGGUCUAUAUUUUUUUUCUUUUUGGGUUGGUGAGGCAGAGUGCGUAGUGGGUGGAGGAGGGUUCCUCUGCCCAGAUCAAAA
Long non-coding RNA from Syzygium oleosum, 348 nucleotides. RefSeq lists it as uncharacterized. The record is from RefSeq and is a predicted model, not a curated record. The transcript is spliced from 2 exons. Lineage: Eukaryota; Viridiplantae; Streptophyta; Magnoliopsida; Myrtales; Myrtaceae.